This 72-nucleotide transfer RNA is filed under the name Camelus bactrianus (Bactrian camel). It matches the Rfam family "tRNA". From Rfam's summary of the family: Transfer RNA (tRNA) molecules are approximately 80 nucleotides in length. Their secondary structure includes four short double-helical elements and three loops (D, anti-codon, and T loops). Further hydrogen bonds mediate the characteristic L-shaped molecular structure. tRNAs have two regions of fundamental functional importance: the anti-codon, which is responsible for specific mRNA codon recognition, and the 3' end, to which the tRNAs corresponding amino acid is attached (by aminoacyl-tRNA synthetases). tRNAs cope with the degeneracy of the genetic code in two manners: having more than one tRNA (with a specific anti-codon) for a particular amino acid; and 'wobble' base-pairing, i.e. permitting non-standard base-pairing at the 3rd anti-codon position. The record is from Rfam by way of RNAcentral. Lineage: Eukaryota; Metazoa; Chordata; Mammalia; Artiodactyla; Camelidae. RNAcentral also lists the same sequence under 2 other names.
GGAGGUAUAGCUCAGUGGUAGAGCGCGUGCUUAGCAUGCAUGAGGUCCUGGGUUCAAUCCCCAGUACCUCCA